This 601-nucleotide ribosomal RNA is filed under the name uncultured fungus. RNAcentral describes it as "eukaryotic LSU rRNA". It matches the Rfam family "Eukaryotic large subunit ribosomal RNA", at positions 40 to 647 of the family's 3401-position model. Lineage: Eukaryota; Fungi. The record is from RNAcentral.
AUAUCAAUAAGCGGAGGAAAAGAAACCAACAGGGAUUACCCUAGUAACGGCGAGUGAAGCGGUAACAGCUCAAAUUUGGAAUCUAACCUUUCACGGGUUCGAGUUGUAAUUUGUAGAGUUUGUUUCGGAUAAGGCUUUGGUUUAAGUUUCUUGGAACAGAACGUCAUAGAGGGUGAGAGUCCCGUCUAGAACUGAUAGCCGUGUCCAUGUGAAACAUUAUCUCGACGAGUCGAGUUGUUUGGGAAUGCAGCUCAAAAUGGGUGGUAAAUUUCAUCUAAAGCUAAAUAUUGGCCAGAGACCGAUAGCGCACAAGUAGAGUGAUCGAAAGAUGAAAAGCACUUUGAAAAGAGAGUUAAACAGUAUGUGAAAUUGUUGAAAGGGAAGCGCUUGCAACCAGACUUGUGUUUAAUGGUUCCCUCUGAUCUUUUUGAUUAGAGCUAUUCCAUUAUAUCCAGGCUAGCAUCGGUUCAGGUGGUUGGUUAAAGAUUUUAGGAAUGUAUCUACCUUUCGGGGUCGACUUAUAGCCUAAAAUGUAAUGCAGCCUACUUGGACCGAGGAACGCGCUUUUUUGCUCGGAUGCUGGCGUAAUGGUUGUAAGCGG